Non-coding RNA from Vicia faba (fava bean), 210 nucleotides. NCBI's taxonomy places the organism in Eukaryota, Viridiplantae, Streptophyta, Magnoliopsida, Fabales, Fabaceae. The record is from the annotation of a GenBank genome assembly.
AUGAAACAUGAAAUUAAAUUGGUUAGCAAAGAAACAUUGAACAAGAACAAAGAAUUUUCAAAGAAGAAGUUCCUCUCCAAGAUUCAUCAUUAUGGUUUUGUAAAGGAAUCAGAAUUUAGGUUUGGUUUUCAAUCAUGUGCUAAGCCAAAUCUAAAACCUCAUAUUAUUUGUUCCAAAUUCAGAAAUCAGAGGUACAUUGCUUUAUCAUAG